RNAcentral lists this non-coding RNA (70 nucleotides) under Parastagonospora nodorum SN15. Lineage: Eukaryota; Fungi; Ascomycota; Dothideomycetes; Pleosporales; Phaeosphaeriaceae. The record is from RNAcentral.
CCCCCUACGACCUGUACUUUGGCGCAGUAAGGGGGCUCAGUACUCAAUUCUUUGGGGAAGCGAAACAGGU